UAGCUCGCUCCACGGCUUGUUUUCUUCAUAGGAAGUGCUACUCGAAACACUGGUUUUUGGAAAUUAAUCGUUUCUGGAUUUUGAAUAUCAAUCCCUGCACGUAAGGGACGGGUGUUAACUGGUGGUUCAUUAGCGACCUAGUUUACUUUCAACCUUUGGUACAUGCUUUACCGUUUCGUAUAGAAUCUCGUCAGGACCUGGGGUUGCAUCAUUGAAAAUUGCUAGAGCUGAAGCUAACACUAUAAUCAAAGGCAAAUCUUGACACUGGAUUUGACUCGUAUUGCAGCUGAUGCACCUGGCUUCAAAUGAAUAAUCUCCAAUGUUCAGCAAGUAUCACAUAUUUUCAUUUUUUUAAUCUACAAAUUGCAAUUGGUGUAGUGGUGUCAAAACUUGAAACAAUUGUAACAUGGUUUCUGCUUGAAUGGCUUUUCUUUAUUUCAAUAUUUAUAUGGCAAGGUACAUCAGGCACCUCAAAAAUAAGGAUACACUUCUGGGCUUUGUGUAAAUUUCACACUUCUGCAAAUUCAUGAGAGAUCUCUGUGGUUCUUGGUCCCCACUUAUUUUUAGUGUAUAAAUGUGAUUUGGUUGUUGGCCGGAAAAUAAGAUUGUUCAUUCUGCCAAUGAUACAACACUUGGAGAAAUGAAGCUGCCCCGAGUCUCAGUCGUGACUUGUUGCGGAUCAAUGAAAUGUGUAGUCGGCGGGGUAUGAGGCUGAACUCAAACACAAUGAAAACGGUUGAUUAGCAGAUCUCGUACAUUUUUUCCUACUAGUUUUCCCCCUCCAGGUGGAUAGGACUCAGCUGAAAGAGUGAAGAUAAACUAUUCUAGGUGUAACUUUUGACUCGCAACUUACUUUUGAGAAACUUCUAAUAAAAGUAUCAGCAAAUGUAGCACGAAAGUUAGAAUUGCAUGAAAGAUCUCUUAUAAAGUGACAAAAUCAAAAUCCAACCUGUUUAAGGUCACCUAUCCUUCCUUUACUAGAAUGCUGUUCUCCAGUACGAAUGUCUGCUUCUGCCCCAGAUUUUUCGUUUAGAUAGUGUGUAGACUUGUUUCCUAACAGAGUUAACACUUAAGACUUGGACCAUAAAUGGAUAGUCUCGUUUGUCAAUUUUUUCACGUAUUUUAAGUGAUCUCUCGCAUUCACAAUUAAUUCUUUAUCCCCUUUUCCUGCAGAAAGCCACCAGAUUUGCUGAACAACGCUACCAAGCUGUAUUAAUGUCCCUGAAUUGUUGUAGAACUAAUCGGUUCCACAGGUCCUUUAUUCCUCGCACUGUUGGAAUGUGAAAUUCUCCC
Molecule: long non-coding RNA, 1293 nt
Organism: Macrobrachium nipponense
Lineage: Eukaryota; Metazoa; Arthropoda; Malacostraca; Decapoda; Palaemonidae
Exons: 3
Source: RefSeq, a predicted model, not a curated record